This 253-nucleotide ribosomal RNA is filed under the name uncultured bacterium. Its description in RNAcentral is "partial 16S ribosomal RNA". It matches the Rfam family "Bacterial small subunit ribosomal RNA", at positions 524 to 776 of the family's 1533-position model. The record is from RNAcentral.
UACGGGGGGGGCAAGCGUUGUUCGGAAUUACUGGGCGUAAAGGGCUCGUAGGUGGCCAACUAAGUCAGACGUGAAAUCCCUCGGCUUAACCGGGGAACUGCGUCUGAUACUGGAUGGCUUGAGUUUGGGAGAGGGAUGCGGAAUUCCAGGUGUAGCGGUGAAAUGCGUAGAUAUCUGGAGGAACACCGGUGGCGAAGGCGGCAUCCUGGACCAACACUGACACUGAGGAGCGAAAGCGAGGGGAGCAAACGGG